UGCCCUACAGUUCCCCGUCCGGGAACAAGGAGCUGGUAUCAGGCACCCCCAUCGAGCCCAUGACACCUUGCUUAGCCACACCCUCAAGGGAACUCAGCAGUGAUAAAUAUUAAGCCAUAAGUGAAAACUUGACUUAGUUAAAGCUAAGAGGGCCGGUAAAACUCGUGCCAGCCACCGCGGUUAUACGAGAGGCCCAAGUAGAUAGACACCGGCGUAAAGAGUGGUUAAGUUAAAACUCACACUAAAGCCAAACAUCUUCAAGACUGUUAUACGUAACCGAAGACCGGAAGUUCAACCACGAAAGUGGCUUUAUUUGAUCUGAACCCACGAAAGCUACGGCACAAACUGGGAUUAGAUACCCCACUAUGCCUAGCCCUAAACAUUGAUAGCACCCCACACCCGCUAUCCGCCCGGGAACUACGAGCAACAGCUUAAAACCCAAAGGACUUGGCGGUGCUUUAGAUCCACCUAGAGGAGCCUGUUCUAGAACCGAUAACCCCCGUUCAACCUCACCUCUCCUUGUUUCCCCCGCCUAUAUACCGCCGUCGUCAGCUUACCCUCUGAGGGUCUCAUAGUAAGCAAAACUGGUACAACCUAAAACGUCAGGUCAAGGUGUAGCGUAUGGGGAGGGAAGAAAUGGGCUACAUUCGCUACCCUAGCGAAUACGGACGAUGUACUGAAACGUACAUCUGAAGGAGGAUUUAGCAGUAAGCAG
RNAcentral lists this ribosomal RNA (715 nucleotides) under Ophiodon elongatus. RNAcentral describes it as "partial 12S ribosomal RNA". It matches the Rfam family "Bacterial small subunit ribosomal RNA", at positions 327 to 1345 of the family's 1533-position model. The record is from RNAcentral. Lineage: Eukaryota; Metazoa; Chordata; Actinopteri; Perciformes; Hexagrammidae.